GUUCACAUUGCAAGUCAUGUUUUCUUCGUAUCCUGUGGGUCCCCGGAAAUAGCCUGUGAAAUCGACUGUGGCCCCUUCUUCUCUCCAGAUUCUCCGUAGAACUUCAACUGCCUCACUGGAGUGGAUCAGCCGCACUUGCGCCUGGGCCGUCCCGGCCCAAAGCAGGGGAAAGGACAGGAGAGCAAGCUGACCAUGGAGAGAAACCUCUACAAACUGUGAGCUGAGCCGGGCGCGGUGGUGCUUGCCUGUCAUCCCAGCACUGGGGAGGCUGGGGCAGGAGGAUCAUUGCAAGUUCAAGAGCAGCCUGGAUUACAAAAUAAGUCUGAGACCAGCCUGAAUUGCAUAGCAAGACCCUGUCUCAAAAAGACAAAAUCUACCAAGCAAACAAACCAAAAUCCCUGUGAGCUGAAACAAAUUUUUCUUCCUUUAAUUUGUGAAUGUUGGGUAUUGUGUCUGAGUGAUGAGAAAAGAAACUAAGACAGCUAUGCUGGAUUAUAAUAACUAUUUUCUCUUAUCUGUCUUUAUUUUGUACUUUUUAAAUAUUAGGUUUCUCAUAUAAGAGAAGCCAAGUGAUAUUUAAACUGUGAGUCUUAUUUACUUCACUUAACAUCAUGGUCCCAAGGUGCACCCAUUUUCCUACAAAAGAUCCAAGUUUGUCAUUCCUAUGGCACAGUCGUACUCCAUUGUGUAUAAGUACCACAUUUUCUUAUCCGUUCAUGUAUUGAUAGACAUAUCGGCUACUAAAUUCUGCUGCUGUAAUAUGAGUGUGCACAUAUCAUUGUAAUAUGAUGUCUUUAACUCUUUUGGGAAGAUACCUAGAAGAGAAAUAAAAAUGGAAUUUCUAUUUUUAA
Molecule: long non-coding RNA, 851 nt
Organism: Cavia porcellus (domestic guinea pig)
Lineage: Eukaryota; Metazoa; Chordata; Mammalia; Rodentia; Caviidae
Exons: 2
Source: RefSeq, a predicted model, not a curated record